RNAcentral lists this ribosomal RNA (465 nucleotides) under Vreelandella stevensii. Its description in RNAcentral is "partial 16S ribosomal RNA". It matches the Rfam family "Bacterial small subunit ribosomal RNA", at positions 338 to 795 of the family's 1533-position model. The record is from RNAcentral. Lineage: Bacteria; Pseudomonadati; Pseudomonadota; Gammaproteobacteria; Oceanospirillales; Halomonadaceae.
CCUACGGGGAGCAGCAGUGGGGAAUAUUGGACAAUGGGCGAAAGCCUGAUCCAGCCAUGCCGCGUGUGUGAAGAAGGCCUUCGGGUUGUAAAGCACUUUCAGUGGGGAAGAAAGCCUUGGGGCUAAUACCCUCGAGGAAGGACAUCACCCACAGAAGAAGCACCGGCUAACUCCGUGCCAGCAGCCGCGGUAAUACGGAGGGUGCGAGCGUUAAUCGGAAUUACUGGGCGUAAAGCGCGCGUAGGCGGUCUGAUAAGCCGGUUGGGAAAGCCCCGGGCUCAACCUGGGAACGGCAUCCGGAACUGUCAGGCUAGGGUGCAGGAGAGGAAGGUAGAAUUCCCGGUGUAGCGGUGAAAUGCGUAGAGAUCGGGAGGAAUACCAGUGGCGAAGGCGGCCUUCUGGACUGACACUGACGCUGAGGUGCGAAAGCGUGGGUAGCAAACAGGAUUAGAUACCCGUGUAGUC